Molecule: ribosomal RNA, 253 nt
Filed under: uncultured bacterium
Lineage: Bacteria
Description: partial 16S ribosomal RNA
Rfam family: Bacterial small subunit ribosomal RNA
Source: RNAcentral
UACGGAGGGGGCUAGCGUUGUUCGGAGUUACUGGGCGUAAAGGGCGCGUAGGCGGCGCACCAAGUCAGGCGUGAAAGCCCUGGGCUCAACCCGGGAAUUGCGCUUGAGACUGGUGUGCUUGAGUACGGGAGAGGAUAGUGGAAUUCCCAGUGUAGAGGUGAAAUUCGUAGAUAUUGGGAAGAACACCGGUGGCGAAGGCGGCUAUCUGGACCGUAACUGACGCUGAGGCGCGAAAGCGUGGGGAGCAAACAGG